CGCCUCUUGCUAACAAAGGAAGUACUAGAGGUCCCGCCUGCCCUGUGACCACAAAGUUUAACGGCCGCGGUAUCCUGACCGUGCGAAGGUAGCGUAAUCAUUUGUCUUUUAAAUAGAGACCUGUAUGAAUGGCAUAACGAGGGUUUAACUGUCUCCUUCCCCUAGUCAAUGAAAUUGAUCUGCCCGUGCAGAAGCGGACAUAAACACAUAAGACGAGAAGACCCUAUGGAGCUUUAGACAAAAGAUCAAACAUGUAAAGAAACCAAACCAACCAAAAGGAACACGAAGGCCACAAAACCCAACGUAAACUGAUCUAAAUGUCUUCGGUUGGGGCGACCAUGGGGGAAAGAAAAGCCCCCACGAGGAACAGGGACAACCCCUAA
RNAcentral lists this ribosomal RNA (383 nucleotides) under Anguilla anguilla (European eel). Its description in RNAcentral is "partial large subunit ribosomal RNA". It matches the Rfam family "Bacterial large subunit ribosomal RNA", at positions 1816 to 2372 of the family's 2925-position model. The record is from RNAcentral. Lineage: Eukaryota; Metazoa; Chordata; Actinopteri; Anguilliformes; Anguillidae.